GAAGACUUUGCCAGUAAAUGUUGUAUCAAAUUCCAGGUUUGCCUCUUCUGCCAUGCCCACUCCCUUGUGGCUACAGUGGCCCUGUAAUUGGACCUGACUUGGACCUGACUUCAGGAGCUCCUGAAAUAUCACUGGCAGGUGCCACAAGAGGGAGGAACAUAAUAAUUGGAAGAGUGCAAGAUUUCAGCUAAUUUCAACUUUACCACCAUCUGCCACUGAAUCUCCAGAGGACACCAAGACUCUGAGAUAUCAAGGAAGAGAAGACAUGAAGAAUUACUUCUAAGUUGUCUAUACAGCCACUAUUAUCCCUGCAACAUAACAGCCCAGUGCUGCAUGUUUUGAAAGUAACAUGUAUUUCUCCUGGCUCCUCUGGGAGGCAGAGAAAGACUUGGGAUAUAAACAUGAACAUGGCAUAAUAGAAAGAGUUUAUAGGCAAUCUAUAAAGCCAAAUUGAGUGGUAUGUUAAUAGUGAAAAAGUUGAUAAUGGAUUCCAAAGGAGUGGAGAUGUGGGGAUAGUCUUGAAAGUGGACCAAUAUUAAUUGCUGCAAAGGUUAUUUAUGUGUUUACACAACAUGAGGGGAGCUCCUGCCAGCAAUAUCCCUAGUGGAAACCAGAAUGUGCAAGUAAGACAGCUUUUAGGGAAAAGUAUGAGCUGAGCAUCUCUUCUAUCUAAAUCUUCAUUUGAGGAACUGAGAACUGAGCACACAUCAGGGUACCAGGACUGAGUACCUGCUGAGCAGUGUCAUGGGAAAUAACUAAUGAAGUCUUGGCCAUAAUGAAGUCAGUGGAGUUUAGAAAUAUUUCAGUAAAGCCAGAAGCUUGAUCUUUACCUCAUUGAUUAAAUAUGCCAUGUUUCACUACCAGAGCAUUACACAGAUCUUAUCAUUAUAAUCCUACAGGAAGUGCUGGUAAAGAGAGAAGUUUUAUUGUUUAUUUAUUUAGUUAGUC
This 948-nucleotide long non-coding RNA is filed under the name Cyanistes caeruleus (blue tit). RNAcentral describes it as "lncRNA (ENSCCEG00000002351.1)". Lineage: Eukaryota; Metazoa; Chordata; Aves; Passeriformes; Paridae. The record is from RNAcentral.